RNAcentral lists this ribosomal RNA (352 nucleotides) under Haemaphysalis longicornis (longhorned tick). RNAcentral's name for it is "partial 12S ribosomal RNA". The record is from RNAcentral. Lineage: Eukaryota; Metazoa; Arthropoda; Arachnida; Ixodida; Ixodidae.
ACCCUAUUAUUAAGAAAAAUUAUAUUGUUAGUAUAUAAAUUGUAUGAAAACAAAAAAUUAUGGCGGUAUUUUAAGCUUUUCAGAGGAAUUUGCUCUUUAAUGGAUAAAACACCUAAAUCUUACUAAAUUUAGUUAAACAGUUUGUAUACCACUAUUUAAGUAAUAAUUUGCUAUUAUUACUAAAAUUUAUAUUAAUUAAAAAAAGUUAAGUCAAGGUGCAGCAUAAAUUUUAGUAUGAAGUGAAUUACAUUUCUUUUAAGAAAAUUUUGUUGAAAAUAAAAUUUAGGAUUUGAAAGUAAAAUUUUAAUAGAAGGAAAAUUUGAAUUAAGCUCUAAAAUAUGUACACAUCGCC